RNAcentral lists this ribosomal RNA (253 nucleotides) under uncultured bacterium. RNAcentral describes it as "partial 16S ribosomal RNA". It matches the Rfam family "Bacterial small subunit ribosomal RNA", at positions 524 to 776 of the family's 1533-position model. The record is from RNAcentral.
UACGAAGGGGGCUAGCGUUGCUCGGAAUCACUGGGCGUAAAGGGUGCGUAGGCGGGUCUUUAAGUCAGGGGUGAAAUCCUGGAGCUCAACUCCAGAACUGCCUUUGAUACUGAGGAUCUUGAGUAUGGGAGAGGUGAGUGGAACUGCGAGUGUAGAGGUGAAAUUCGUAGAUAUUCGGAAGAACACCAGUGGCGAAGGCGACUUACUGGACACAUAUUGACGCUGAGGUGCGAAAGCGUGGGGAGCAAACAGG